This 1494-nucleotide ribosomal RNA is filed under the name Triticum aestivum (bread wheat). Its description in RNAcentral is "partial small subunit ribosomal RNA". The record is from RNAcentral. Lineage: Eukaryota; Viridiplantae; Streptophyta; Magnoliopsida; Poales; Poaceae.
AUGCAAGUAGCAAUGAGCGCAGCCACUCACUCAAGCCGUCCGCUCUCUGUCCGUGUGUCACGGGAGAAGGAAUGUGCCGACAAUUCCAUAGUAGAGCCCAUGAGCCCUACCGGAAGAGUCAUGGAGGAGUUGGGUGUGUGCAUCGUCGUCGUCAUAGGGCUUGGCACGCCGGUGAACCUGCCGGUCUUCCGUGCCGGCAUCGAAACAGAACUGCUUACUCGUUUCCCACGCUUCCGCAGUAUUCAAGUAAUGGACGAGUCCACCAACAAUGGCAAGCCGCGAUGGGUGCAAACGGCGGUGAACAUGGACGACCACAUCGUCGUUCCCAGGCUGGAUCCUGAGGCCGACCCAGAAAAGGCCGUGGAGGACUACGUGGCGUCGCUGUCCCUGCUCCCGAUGGACAGGCGCCGCCCGCUCUGGGAGUUCCACUUCCUCGACUUUCCAUCCUCCGAGGCAGCCUCCACGGUGGUGCUCCGCCUGCACCACUCCAUUGGCGACGGCACCUCCAUCACGACGCUCCUCAUGGCGUCGUCCCGCAGCACGGCCGACCCGGCGAGGGUGCCAGCUAUGCCUCCACCACCCAAGCGCACGGGCGCCAUCUACCAGCGAGAACCACGGCCUAGGCUGUCUUCAGGUGAUUACCUCGCACUGCUCGCGUGGUUUUGGUCGUAUGUAGUGCUGGCCUGGCACACACUGGUGGAUGUAACUAUGAUCGUUGCAACGAUACUGUUCUUGAGUGAUCCACGCACGCUCUUCACGCGUGCGGAUGGCGUCGAGCCUCGCACCCGCAAGCGUUUCGUGCACCGGACCCUUAGCUUUGACGAUGUCAAGCUCAUCAAGACUGCCAUGAACUGCACUAUUAACGACGUGCUAGCCGGUGUGACUGCAGCAGCUCUUUCACAAUAUUACUUUAAGAAGUCCGGUGACACUAACACGAAGAGAAUCUGUUUGCGAUCACUCGUCCUAGUCGACGCAAGGCCAGUCUCCACCCGACAAACAUAUGUUACCAGAGUAGAGACAGGCAAUCGACUUAGCAGCCUCAUCUGUCCAUUUAAUAUAGCCUUGCAAGAUGAUCCCCUUGAGUACGUUCGUGAGGCAAAAAGAUUUAUGCAUAGGAAAAAGAGCUCUCUAGAAGUGCUGUUCACACGAGUGGUCGGUGAAUUUUUGGUGAAAAACUUUGGUGUCAAGAAGGCAGGAGCUUUUAUCUUCCGCCGUUUUGUCGAACGAACAACCAUCAUAUUUUCAAAUGCCCUUGGACCAGUUGAACAUAUGGCGUUAUGUGGGCACCCAGUUGCCUUCAUGGCACCUAGUAUCUACGGUCCACCACAAGCUUUGACCAUGCACUACCAUAAUUACGGUAGUGAUAUCAAGGUAGUUCUGGCAGUUGAUGACGCACAAUUUCCAGAUUGUCACCAGCUUUUGGAUGGUUUUGCCGAGGCCACUAGAAUCAUUAAGAAUGCAGCAGCCCUCAAGACGUUGACAACAUCAAUCUAG